CCUACGUGAGGCAGCAGUGGGGAAUAUUGCACAAUGGGGGAAACCCUGAUGCAGCGACGCCGCGUGAGCGAUGAAGUAUUUCGGUAUGUAAAGCUCUAUCAGCAGGGAAGAAAAUGACGGUACUUGACUAAGAAGCCCCGGCUAACUACGGGCCAGCAGCCGCGGUAAUACGUAGGGGGCAAGCGUUAUCCGGAUUUACUGGGUGUAAGGGAGCGUAGACGGUCCUGCAAGCCAGAUGUGAAAGCCCGGGGCUCAACCCCGGGACUGCAUUUGGAACUGUAAGGCUAGAGUGUCGGAGUGGCAGGCGGAAUUCCUAGUGUAGCGGUGAAAUGCGUAGAUAUUAGGAGGAACACCAGUGGCGAAGGCGGCCUGCUGGACGAUGACUGACGUUGAGGCUCGAAAGCGUGGGGAGCAAACAGGAUUAGAUACCCCGGUAGUC
Molecule: ribosomal RNA, 439 nt
Filed under: uncultured bacterium
Lineage: Bacteria
Description: partial 16S ribosomal RNA
Rfam family: Bacterial small subunit ribosomal RNA
Source: RNAcentral